Molecule: ribosomal RNA, 648 nt
Filed under: uncultured cyanobacterium
Lineage: Bacteria; Bacillati; Cyanobacteriota
Description: bacterial SSU rRNA
Rfam family: Bacterial small subunit ribosomal RNA
Source: RNAcentral
AUGGGCGAAAGCCUGACGGAGCAAGACCGCGUGGGGGAGGAAGGUUCUUGGAUUGUCAACCCCUUUUCUCAGGGAAGAACACAAUGACGGUACCUGAGGAAAAAGCAUCGGCUAACUCCGUGCCAGCAGCCGCGGUAAUACGGGGGAUGCAAGCGUUAUCCGGAAUGAUUGGGCGUAAAGAGUCCGUAGGUAGUCAUCCAAGUCUGCUGUUAAAGAGCGAGGCUUAACCUCGUAAAGGCAGUGGAAACUGGAAGACUAGAGUGUAGUAGGGGCAGAGGGAAUUCCUGGUGUAGCGGUGAAAUGCGUAGAGAUCAGGAAGAACACCGGUGGCGAAGGCGCUCUGCUGGGCUAUAACUGACACUGAGGGACGAAAGCUAGGGGAGCGAAUGGGAUUAGAUACCCCAGUAGUCCUAGCGGUAAACGAUGGAAACUAGGUGUGGCCUGUAUCGACCCGGGCCGUGCCGAAGCAAACGCGUUAAGUUUCCCGCCUGGGGAGUACGCACGCAAGUGUGAAACUCAAAGGAAUUGACGGGGGCCCGCACAAGCGGUGGAGUAUGUGGUUUAAUUCGAUGCAACGCGAAGAACCUUACCAGGACUUGACAUCUCUGGAAUCUCCUUGAAAGGGGAGAGUGCCGUAAGGAACCAGAA